CCUACGGGAGGCUGCAGUAGGGAAUCUUUCACAAUGGGCGAAAGCCUGAUGGAGCAACGCCGCGUGCAGGAUGACGGCCUUCGGGUUGUAAACUGCUUUUAUAAGUGAGAAAAAGGAUGGUAACUUAUGAAUAAGGAUCGGCUAACUACGUGCCAGCAGCCGCGGUCAAACGUAGGAUCAGAGCCGUAUCCGGAGUGACUGGGUGUAAAGAGUUGCGUAGGUGGCAUAAUAAGUAGCUAGGGAAAUCUGGUGGCUCAACCAUUCAGACUGUUAGCUAAACUGUUAAGCUCGAGACCGUUAGGGGUAACUGGAAUUUCUAGUGUAGGAGUGAAAUCCGUAGAUAUUAGGAAGAACACCAAUGGCGUAGGCAGCUUACUGGGACGGUUCUGACACUAAGGCACGAAAGCGUAGGGAGCAAACAGGAUUAGAUACCCCAGUAGUC
Molecule: ribosomal RNA, 442 nt
Filed under: uncultured bacterium
Lineage: Bacteria
Description: partial 16S ribosomal RNA
Rfam family: Bacterial small subunit ribosomal RNA
Source: RNAcentral